Molecule: ribosomal RNA, 450 nt
Filed under: uncultured Glomeromycotina
Lineage: Eukaryota; Fungi; Glomeromycota
Description: SSU rRNA
Rfam family: Eukaryotic small subunit ribosomal RNA
Source: RNAcentral
AGCAGCCGCGGUAAUUCCAGCUCCAAUAGCGUAUAUUAAAGUUGUUGCAGUUAAAAAGCUCGUAGUUGAAUUUCGGGGUUCUACCGUUGGUCGGGCAAUUGUCUGUACUGGCGUGUGGAAUUUCUACCUUCUGGGGAACCAUCAUGUUAUUAAUUUAGCGUGGUGGGAAACCAGGACCUUUACCUUGAAAAAAUUAGAGUGUUCAAAGCAGGCUUACGUCUGAAUACAUUAGCAUGGAAUAAUAAAAUAGGACGGUGGUCCUGUUUUGUUGGUUUCUGAAUCACCGUAAUGAUUAAUAGGGAUAGUUGGGGGCAUUAGUAUUCAAUUGUCAGAGGUGAAAUUCUUGGAUUUAUUGAAGACUAACUUCUGCGGAAGCAUUUGCCAAGGAUGUUUUCAUUUAACCAAGAACGAAAGUUAGGGGAUCGAAGACGAUCAGAUACCGUCGUAGUC